Molecule: transfer RNA, 99 nt
Filed under: Ligilactobacillus salivarius
Lineage: Bacteria; Bacillati; Bacillota; Bacilli; Lactobacillales; Lactobacillaceae
Description: tRNA-Ser
Rfam family: tRNA
About the family: Transfer RNA (tRNA) molecules are approximately 80 nucleotides in length. Their secondary structure includes four short double-helical elements and three loops (D, anti-codon, and T loops).
Source: RNAcentral
GGAGAGUUGGCAGAGUGGUAAUGCACCGGACUCGAAAUCCGGCGAGCCGAUUUAUAUUGGUGCGCAGGUUCNGCGCAGGUUCAAAUCCUGUACUCUCCU